GGUUUAUUCGAAGCAACGCGAAGAACCUUACCAGGUCUUGACAUCCUCUGACAAUCCUAGAGAUAGGACGUCCCCUUCGGGGGCAGAGUGACAGGUGGUGCAUGGUUGUCGUCAGCUCGUGUCGUGAGAUGUUGGGUUAAGUCCCGCAACGAGCGCAACCCUUGAUCUUAGUUGCCAGCAUUCAGUUGGGCACUCUAAGGUGACUGCCGGUGACAAACCGGAGGAAGGUGGGGAUGACGUCAAAUCAUCAUGCCCCUUAUGACCUGGGCUACACACGUGCUACAAUGGACAGAACAAAGGGCAGCGAAACCGCGAGGUUAAGCCAAUCCCACAAAUCUGUUCUCAGUUCGGAUCGCAGUCUGCAACUCGACUGCGUGAAGCUGGAAUCGCUAGUAAUCGCGGAUCAGCAUGCCGCGGUGAAUACGUUCCCGGGCCUUGUACACACCGCCCGUCACACCACGAGAGUUUGUAACACCCGAAGUCGGUGAGGUAACCUUUUAGGAGCCAGCCGCCGAAGGUGGGACAGAUGAUUGGGGUGAAGUCGUAACAAGGUAGCCGUAUCGGAAGGUGCGGUGG
RNAcentral lists this ribosomal RNA (576 nucleotides) under bacterium enrichment culture clone Co10. Its description in RNAcentral is "bacterial SSU rRNA". It matches the Rfam family "Bacterial small subunit ribosomal RNA", at positions 943 to 1520 of the family's 1533-position model. The record is from RNAcentral.